RNAcentral lists this ribosomal RNA (546 nucleotides) under Trichoderma atroviride. RNAcentral describes it as "eukaryotic LSU rRNA". The stretch from base 150 to 303 matches the Rfam family "5.8S ribosomal RNA". The record is from RNAcentral. Lineage: Eukaryota; Fungi; Ascomycota; Sordariomycetes; Hypocreales; Hypocreaceae.
CCAAACUGUUGCCUCGGCGGGGUCACGCCCCGGGUGCGUCGCAGCCCCGGAACCAGGCGCCCGCCGGAGGGACCAACCAAACUCUUUUCUGUAGUCCCCUCGCGGACGUUAUUUCUUACAGCUCUGAGCAAAAAUUCAAAAUGAAUCAAAACUUUCAACAACGGAUCUCUUGGUUCUGGCAUCGAUGAAGAACGCAGCGAAAUGCGAUAAGUAAUGUGAAUUGCAGAAUUCAGUGAAUCAUCGAAUCUUUGAACGCACAUUGCGCCCGCCAGUAUUCUGGCGGGCAUGCCUGUCCGAGCGUCAUUUCAACCCUCGAACCCCUCCGGGGGGUCGGCGUUGGGGACCUCGGGAGCCCCUAAGACGGGAUCCCGGCCCCGAAAUACAGUGGCGGUCUCGCCGCAGCCUCUCCUGCGCAGUAGUUUGCACAACUCGCACCGGGAGCGCGGCGCGUCCACGUCCGUAAAACACCCAACUUCUGAAAUGUUGACCUCGGAUCAGGUAGGAAUACCCGCUGAACUUAAGCAUAUCAAUAAGCGGAGGAAAUCC